UUUAAGGCUUCCAAGGCUGAGACUCCUUGUGUUUAACCAGAGUCCCAUCACCUGUGUUGCUGCAGCAGGCAGGCUUCAGGGAGAAGCACAUACCAUGACGUUGGGUUUGCCUUAGUUUCUGUUCAUGUGUUGGAGAGUUUGUUCAACUCAUAUUCUGGUAAGAGCCACCCUUCACACUGUGUUGUUGCAGUGGAGGUUUGGGAAAGGCAAAGAUGGUGCCUUGCUGUACUCUGUCCCGUGCACUUACCUCACCAGUUAGUUUUGAAGAAGCUGUUUGGGCAAAAUGGACCAAAUUUGGCAGAUGCUCUGUUGUUACUUCAUCCUUUCUGUUGAACAGAAUUGAGCGAUCUACACUUUAAUAUCUUUUUAUAUAAAUUGCAGUGAUAAUCUGAACUCUGGAUUACACCACAGAUGAAGAACGAUGAAGCAAAGUUGUUUUCUUUCGGACAUUAAUGUUUGCGGGAAUAAGAGUCUACUCCAGAAAGCCACUGGGAUCAAUCCAUAUACUCAAGUAAGAAAAUAGAUAGGAAGUGGACACAUUCAGCAAGUCAUUGACAUUAAUAAUCACUUGUUGUCUAGAGCUGGAAGAUUACACACGUACUAUAAACGUGAUCAUGAAAGACAUCAGCACUUUGGAGAACAAAAGUUGCCCAUAGUUUUGGUGAACCCGAAACAGGAAUUUUCAGCAAUCAGUAUUUGAAAUCCAGCUGUUACCAGAAGUGGAAGAAAUCACACUCAGCACUGCUGGGAAAAUGUUUUCUGUAUAUUGGAAACUGUGGUUUUU
Long non-coding RNA from Pezoporus flaviventris, 784 nucleotides. RefSeq lists it as uncharacterized. The transcript is spliced from 3 exons. Lineage: Eukaryota; Metazoa; Chordata; Aves; Psittaciformes; Psittacidae. The record is from RefSeq and is a predicted model, not a curated record.